This 425-nucleotide ribosomal RNA is filed under the name uncultured bacterium. RNAcentral describes it as "bacterial SSU rRNA". It matches the Rfam family "Bacterial small subunit ribosomal RNA", at positions 356 to 773 of the family's 1533-position model. The record is from RNAcentral.
GGGGAAUAUUGCACAAUGGGCGCAAGCCUGAUGCAGCCAUGCCGCGUGUGUGAAGAAGGCCUUCGGGUUGUAAAGCACUUUCAGCGGGGAGGAAGGCGAUAAGGUUAAUAACCUUGUCGAUUGACGUUACCCGCAGAAGAAGCACCGGCUAACUCCGUGCCAGCAGCCGCGGUAAUACGGAGGGUGCAAGCGUUAAUCGGAAUUACUGGGCGUAAAGCGCACGCAGGCGGUCUGUCAAGUCGGAUGUGAAAUCCCCGGGCUCAACCUGGGAACUGCAUUCGAAACUGGCAGGCUAGAGUCUUGUAGAGGGGGGUAGAAUUCCAGGUGUAGCGGUGAAAUGCGUAGAGAUCUGGAGGAAUACCGGUGGCGAAGGCGGCCCCCUGGACAAGGACUGACGCUCAGGUGCGAAAGCGUGGGGAGCAAAC